This 498-nucleotide ribosomal RNA is filed under the name uncultured bacterium. RNAcentral's name for it is "bacterial SSU rRNA". It matches the Rfam family "Bacterial small subunit ribosomal RNA", at positions 10 to 507 of the family's 1533-position model. The record is from RNAcentral.
AGUUUGAUCCUGGCUCAGAUUGAACGCUGGCGGUAUGCCUUGCACAUGCAAGUCGAACGGUAGAGGGGCAACCCUUGAGAGUGGCGAACGGGUGAGUAAUACAUCGGAACGUGCCCAGUCGUGGGGGAUAACGUAGCGAAAGCUACGCUAAUACCGCAUACGCUCGAGAGAGGAAAGUGGGGGGAUCGCAAGACCUCACGUUAUAGGAGCGGCCGAUGUCCGAUUAGCUAGUUGGUGGGGUAAAGGCCUACCAAGGCGACGAUCGGUAGCUGGUCUGAGAGGAUGAUCAGCCACACUGGGACUGAGACACGGCCCAGACUCCUACGGGAGGCAGCAGUGGGGAAUUUUGGACAAUGGGCGAAAGCCUGAUCCAGCCAUGCCGCGUGCGGGAAGAAGGCCUUCGGGUUGUAAACCGCUUUAGUCCGGGAAAAAGGGGUGCGAGGAUAAUACCCUCGUGCUUUGAUGGUACCGGAAGAAUAAGCACCGGCUAACUACGUG